Molecule: ribosomal RNA, 279 nt
Filed under: uncultured bacterium
Lineage: Bacteria
Description: partial 16S ribosomal RNA
Rfam family: Bacterial small subunit ribosomal RNA
Source: RNAcentral
UGCCAGCAGCCGCGGUAAUACGUAGGUGGCGAGCGUUAUUCGGAGUUAUUGGGCGUAAAGGGUCCGUAGGGGGUCUGUUAAGUUUGAUGUGAAAUACUGAGGCUCAACCUCAGAACUGCAUUGGAUACUGGCAGACUAGAGCAUAUGAGAGGAAAGUGGAAUUCCAGGUGUAGCGGUGGAAUGCGUAGAUAUCUGGAGGAACACCAAUUGCGAAGGCAGCUUUCUGGAAUAUUGCUGACCCUGAGGGACGAAAGCUAGGAUAGCGAACAGGAUUAGAUA